UCCCUGGUGGCUCAGGGGUUAAAGUGUCUGCCUAGAAUGCAGGAGACCCGAGGUUCGAUCCCUGGGUUGGGAA
This 73-nucleotide transfer RNA is filed under the name Bos taurus (domestic cattle). It matches the Rfam family "tRNA". From Rfam's summary of the family: Transfer RNA (tRNA) molecules are approximately 80 nucleotides in length. Their secondary structure includes four short double-helical elements and three loops (D, anti-codon, and T loops). The record is from Rfam by way of RNAcentral. RNAcentral also lists the same sequence under 2 other names. Lineage: Eukaryota; Metazoa; Chordata; Mammalia; Artiodactyla; Bovidae.